Daphnia carinata is the source of this 533-nucleotide long non-coding RNA. RefSeq lists it as uncharacterized. NCBI's taxonomy places the organism in Eukaryota, Metazoa, Arthropoda, Branchiopoda, Diplostraca, Daphniidae. The record is from RefSeq and is a predicted model, not a curated record. The transcript is spliced from 3 exons.
GGAUCGGCUACGCGGAGCGCUGGUUGUAUGGACGUCUUAUCCAGCGAUGAUUGAAUACUGUACGGAGAGGUAAACUGUUGCUGGGCAGCGAACGGUUCGACUGCGAUUACAUUAGGGUUUCAAUGGCUGAAACUGUUGCUGAACAUCAUCAUGGCUGACAAACGUGGGGUCGACAAAUAGUGGGAGAUUCCAGUACUGUCUCUUACGACGGCACACUGUUGUGGCCAAUGGCGCCUCUAAUUUUGCACAAUCAAAUCUUUUCCUAUUCAUUGGCCGUUAUGGUAACAACGGUGGUGACGGUUGCAGCAGCCCGGAACUCGGGCACUUGUCGGACGACAUGAUUUGGCCAAAUUUCUUCUUCGCGGAUCACGACAGCAGUCUGGACUGAUGAAAAGCCAACAACCAAAAGCAAAACGAAUUUGAGAAGAUCGACCAUUUUCUCGCUAUAGGACUUGGGCGCUGCGUGAUAAUGGCUGGAAGAGUGUCUCAGGAAUGGUAACGCUAUCACCGUCUUUUUAUACUGCAGAUCAUUG